UUUGGAGAGUUUGAUCCUGGCUCAGGACGAACGCUGGCGGCGUGCCUAAUACAUGCAAGUCGAGCGGACUUGAUGGAGUGCUUGCACUCCUGAUGGUUAGCGGCGGAC
RNAcentral lists this ribosomal RNA (108 nucleotides) under Paenibacillus agri. RNAcentral describes it as "Paenibacillus sp. JW14 partial 16S ribosomal RNA". It matches the Rfam family "Bacterial small subunit ribosomal RNA", at positions 1 to 103 of the family's 1533-position model. The record is from RNAcentral. Lineage: Bacteria; Bacillati; Bacillota; Bacilli; Caryophanales; Paenibacillaceae.